Molecule: non-coding RNA, 125 nt
Organism: Triticum urartu
Lineage: Eukaryota; Viridiplantae; Streptophyta; Magnoliopsida; Poales; Poaceae
Source: Rfam
AUAGUACUCCCUCCGUCCGGAAAUACUUGUCGGAGGAAUGGACGUAUCUAGACGUAUUUUAGUUUUAGAUACAUCUAUUUUUAUACAUUUUCUCGACAAGUAUUUCCGAACGGAGGGAGUAUUUA